Molecule: ribosomal RNA, 424 nt
Filed under: uncultured bacterium
Lineage: Bacteria
Description: bacterial SSU rRNA
Rfam family: Bacterial small subunit ribosomal RNA
Source: RNAcentral
GGAAUAUUGCACAAUGGGCGCAAGCCUGAUGCAGCCAUGCCGCGUGUAUGAAGAAGGCCUUCGGGUUGUAAAGUACUUUCAGCGGGGAGGAAGGCGAUGGGGUUAAUAACCCUGUCGAUUGCCGUUACCCGCAGCAGAAGCACCGGCUAACUCCGUGCCAGCAGCCGCGGUAAUACGGAGGGUGCAAGCGUUAAUCGGAAUUACUGGGCGUAAAGCGAGCGCAGGCGGUUUCUUAAGUCUGAUGUGAAAGCCCCCGGCUCAACCGGGGAGGGUCAUUGGAAACUGGGAGACUUGAGUGCAGAAGAGGAGAGUGGAAUUCCAUGUGUAGCGGUGAAAUGCGUAGAUAUAUGGAGGAACACCAGUGGCGAAGGCGGCUCUCUGGUCUGUAACUGACGCUGAGGCUCGAAAGCGUGGGGAGCAAACA